This 768-nucleotide small RNA is filed under the name Streptococcus thermophilus. Its description in RNAcentral is "bacterial LSU rRNA". The stretch from base 321 to 768 matches the Rfam family "Bacterial large subunit ribosomal RNA", at positions 1 to 456 of the family's 2925-position model. The record is from RNAcentral. Lineage: Bacteria; Bacillati; Bacillota; Bacilli; Lactobacillales; Streptococcaceae.
GUAACAAGGUAGCCGUAUCGGAAGGUGCGGCUGGAUCACCUCCUUUCUAAGGAAAAACGGAAUGUACUUGAGUUUCUUAUUUAGUUUUGAGAGGUCUUGUGGGGCCUUAGCUCAGCUGGGAGAGCGCCUGCUUUGCACGCAGGAGGUCAGCGGUUCGAUCCCGCUAGGCUCCAUUGAAUCGAAAGAUUCAAGUAUUGUCCAUUGAAAAUUGAAUAUCUAUAUCAAAUUCCAUAUGUAAGUAAUUACAUAUAGAUAGUAACAAGAAAAUAAACCGAAACGCUGUGAAUAUUUAAUGAGUUAGGUCGAAAGGCCAAAAAUAAGGUUAAGUUAAUAAGGGCGCACGGUGGAUGCCUUGGCACUAGAAGCCGAUGAAGGACGUGACUAACGACGAAAUGCUUUGGGGAGCUGUAAGUGAGCAAUGAUCCAGAGAUGUCCGAAUGGGGGAACCCGGCAGGUAAUGCCUGUCACUCAUUACUGUUAAGGUAAUGUAGAGGAAGACGCAGUGAACUGAAACAUCUAAGUAGCUGUAGGAAGAGAAAGCAAAAGCGAUUGCCUUAGUAGCGGCGAGCGAAACGGCAAGAGGGCAAACCGAAGAGUUUACUCUUCGGGGUUGUAGGACUGCAACGUGGACUUAAAGAUUAUAGAAGAACUACCUGGGAAGGUAGGCCAAAGAGAGUAAUAGCCUCGUAUUAGAAAUAGUCUUUAUACCUAGCAGUAUCCUGAGUACGGCGAGACACGAGAAAUCUCGUCGGAAUCUGGGAGGACCAU